Molecule: ribosomal RNA, 445 nt
Filed under: uncultured bacterium
Lineage: Bacteria
Description: partial 16S ribosomal RNA
Rfam family: Bacterial small subunit ribosomal RNA
Source: RNAcentral
GUGAGGAAUAUUGGUCAAUGGGCGGGAGCCUGAACCAGCCAAGUCGCGUGAAGGAAGAAGGAUCUAUGGUUCGUAAACUUCUUUUGCAGGGGAAUAAAGUGCAGGACGUGUCCUGUUUUGUAUGUACCCUGAGAAUAAGGAUCGGCUAACUCCGUGCCAGCAGCCGCGGUAAUACGGAGGAUCCGAGCGUUAUCCGGAUUUAUUGGGUUUAAAGGGUGCGUAGGUGGUUUGAUAAGUCAGCGGUGAAAGGUUGCAGCUUAACUGUAAAAAUGCCGUUGAAACUGUCGGACUUGAGUGUAAAUGAGGUAGGCGGAAUGCGUGGUGUAGCGGUGAAAUGCAUAGAUAUCACGCAGAACUCCGAUUGCGAAGGCAGCUUACUAAGCUACAACUGACACUGAAGCACGAAAGCGUGGGGAUCAAACAGGAUUAGAAACCCCAGUAGUCC